CUCUCGCUCAAAAAAUCGCAAUCAAAGCUCACACACAGACAGCGCCUUCGCGUGUUCGUCAAAUACACACAGCUUUGGGAGAAAGUCCCCGGACACCCUGUAUUCGCUACAGGACAGCGGAAACGCGCCGCCACAGAAGCACUUUGCGGCUCAUCUGGCUUCGACCUCCAUCCUCUCCUACCACCCAUCUACCGUUCGCACUCUCGCUAACACGCCUCGCUGCUCGGACCAUGUUGAGUCUGCGGACCGGCCGCCUUCGGGUGGCUGCCUCGCAAGAGGAGACGAGGAUAUGAGUCUGCUCUUCAGGCUCGGCGGGUCUCUGCUGCAGUGUUGAACAAGAGAGGGAGGAGGUGGGCGGGAUACUGGUAAGAGACAAGUCGGGCUCAAGGUCGACGACGAGAACUUUUCGUCGUGGUCGAUAGAUAUGCGAUUGCCUGCUCUCGCCGCUGACCCAGAUCACUCGAAAUGGGUCGGUGGUUGGGACGGGUAACUCGAUGGGGCUUAUUCUUGAGGCGAGG
Molecule: RNase MRP RNA, 518 nt
Filed under: Dothistroma septosporum NZE10
Lineage: Eukaryota; Fungi; Ascomycota; Dothideomycetes; Mycosphaerellales; Mycosphaerellaceae
Description: rNase MRP
Rfam family: RNase MRP
About the family: RNase MRP is an enzymatically active ribonucleoprotein with two distinct roles in eukaryotes. In mitochondria it plays a direct role in the initiation of mitochondrial DNA replication.
Source: Rfam by way of RNAcentral